GUGUAAAGAGGAUGUCCAGCCACACUUUGUUUACGUUCGCUAAAUUCAAGUUGCGUGCUACCGAAAAGCUGGCCCCAGUAUCAAAUGGGACGACAAUGGGCUCAAAAGCUUGCAAAGAGAACAAACCUGCUCGUUCUGCUACAUUUGAAUCAUUAUGAUUUUGAUCAUCAAGUUUUUGAAGGAUUAAAACAGAGGAACAAGCUUCAUUACUGCUAUACUGUAAGAAACCUGACGUAGCGCUCAGUUAUUGACAAGUGUGUAGUGUACAAUACGAUAUUCGUAACAGGUCAAUCUUAGCCAAGCCGCCAUUAUCGAUGGAUCUGAUGCGUGAAAAACAAGCAAGCUUCGUAAAAGAAAGCGACGGAGUUAAGAGUCAGAUCAUCCCAUUGAAAUGCCCAUUGACCAUGACACGUAUACGGAUUCCAGUGCGAUUUAUGUCCUGUAAGCAUCUUAGUUGUUUCGAUUUAGACUCGUACAUUGCUGCGGAGACGAACAAGUCAACGCAGAAAUGUCCCAUCUGCAAUUGCACUGGCUCGCCGUCGGCUCUUAGGAUGUGCGGCUUUACCUACUGGAUGCUUGAACAUAAUCCAGACUGCACACAUUAUGAGCUCACUUCCGAUUUCAUCAGACCCGUAGACAAAGGAAGUCUUACUCCUUCAGACAACGGUAGCAAAGCUAUUUCUAUUGAGAUAAGCUGAACCGUUGUUAGCUUUGUAAGUUUGUCUUUCGGCAUAAAAAUCGGCGCGAAAUUUACUCCAAUUGAUAGAACGUUGGGUAGUUGUCAUGGGGAAAAGAGCAUACUUCAGCCGCAUCGCAGAGGUUGUAGUCGCGCAGUCAUCCAUUAGGUCGUUUUCUUUUUAGAUGAGAAGUUAUGACUACGACGAUGUUACUUUUGCUGAAUAUUGGAUUUGGACAUUCCCUCCGUAUCAGAAGUGCGAAACUCAUGUUGCCAGGCAAAAAUCCAAAAUAAUAAAUGACAAUACUGCGAUGCGCCUUAAAGAUAUGCGUUCAGGCCCAACUAGCGUGCAGUGUUGGUACCCCGUAAGAAAAACUCAAUAAGUCGAUUAGUUCUAAGAAGCCACAUGUAAUUAUUCAGCCUUAAAACCUUAGCUCAACUAAUUGAGUAUAAUGUAUACGUACAAAUAUUCUGGCAACCUAGCUUAACUUAUAUUGAUAUUUUAAAUGAUGAUACAAAUGGAUAUAUAGUUUUUAACAUUAUGUUAAUAAUAUGUAUUGCUACGCAUUUGAAAAGGGUUAACGUAUGUACAGAUACGAUGUGUUGAGUCUAAUUCUGGGAAUCGACAUAUGUAAGUAAACAAUUUUUGAGCAGACGAAAACGCUGUCUAGCAGAAGUCAAUCGUCUUUUUUUAUAAACUCAGCAUAGUUCCACUUGAAACUGUCCUUUUUAAAAAUCACAGAACAAAUCGUUUUUAAAACGUUUCCUUAACCGCGAAAUUCAGUAACGUUUGCAUUGCCACCAUAUUGAUAGCGCAUAGAAAUGAACUGUGAUUAACUGUAUUUCGCUUGACUAAAUAGACGCUUGGUAACAUGAAUAGCACGCAGUAUCAUAAUAAAAAAAAAAAAAACGUUGGGCAUCUUUUUACUGAAACUGUGUCUUAGUGUUGUAUGGCAUCUGCUAAAUGUUAAAAUGGACUUUUAAUACGAAUCACUGGACUUGUUAAUUAGGUAGAGCAUAGUGCUGUUAGCAUUUUAUUUACUUUGUAGAGGCUUUAUCAUUACUACUCUCAUUAUUUU
Molecule: non-coding RNA, 1755 nt
Organism: Varroa destructor (honeybee mite)
Lineage: Eukaryota; Metazoa; Arthropoda; Arachnida; Mesostigmata; Varroidae
Source: RefSeq, a predicted model, not a curated record